This 275-nucleotide long non-coding RNA is filed under the name Lathyrus oleraceus (garden pea). RNAcentral's name for it is "Pisum sativum (pea) long non-coding RNA (PSAT_LNC013411)". The record is from RNAcentral. Lineage: Eukaryota; Viridiplantae; Streptophyta; Magnoliopsida; Fabales; Fabaceae.
GCACAGGUAGAGAUUAAGUGAGAAAGAGUGUAACUUGUUGAAGUGUACGGAGAGUCUUUGAACUGAUUCUUUUUAGUGGAUUUCCUUCCUGGCUUGGUAGCCUCCAGAUGUAGGUGAGUUGGACCAAACUGGGUUAACAAUUGCUUGUGUCUCUUGCAUUACUAUUCUUUAUCUUUAUCCUGUUUGCAUUACUCAAAUAUUAGUGUCGUGACAUUACCUUCGACAUCUCAUAUCUGAUACCAGAAUUUCAGAAAGUAAGCAUGACAAUGGUUCAC